AUGAAACAUUGGGAUAAGAACUCUAUAGUUUGCAAAAUAAAUAUCAUAAAUCCAGAUUAUAUAAUUAUGUCAGGACCAAUAGAAGCUACUCCAAAAGAUAUUGAAGAGUUCAAAAUGCAUAUUGAAGAGUUAUUAAAGUUAAAGGCUAUAAGAGAAAGCAGAAACCCUUAUCGGUCUGCUGCAUUCAUAGUUAGAAAUCAUGGUGAAGAAGUUAGAGGUAAAUCUAGAAUGGUAAUUAAUUUUAAAAGGCUUAAUGAUAAUACAGUUGACGAUGCAUACAACAUACCUAAUAAGCAGGAAUGGAUUAACAGAAUACAAGGAAGUAAAUAUUUCUCUAAAUUCGACUUAAAGGUAGGAUUUUGGCAAGUAAAAAUGGCUGAAGAAUCUAUUCCCUGGACAGCAUUUACUUGUCCACAAGGCCAUUAUGAAUGGCAAGUAAUGCCAUUAGGUCUAAAGAAUGCGCCUGCAUUAUUUCGAAGAAAAAUGCAAAAUAUAUUUAAUGAGAAUCAAGCAUUUAUAUUGGUAUACGUAGAUGAUUUGUUAGUAUUCUCCAAAUCAUACAAAGAGCAUAUAGCUCAUCUUGAAGUGUUCUUUAGAAAGGUAGAACAAAAUGGGCUCAUACUAUCUAAAAAGAAGAUGGAAAUUUGCAAAGAGAAAAUAAAUGUCCUUGGUCAUGAAAUAGGAGAAGGAAAGAUAUAUCUACAAGAUCAUCUUGCAUAG
RNAcentral lists this ribosomal RNA (720 nucleotides) under Triticum aestivum (bread wheat). RNAcentral describes it as "partial small subunit ribosomal RNA". Lineage: Eukaryota; Viridiplantae; Streptophyta; Magnoliopsida; Poales; Poaceae. The record is from RNAcentral.